Non-coding RNA from Acanthosepion pharaonis, 96 nucleotides. The record is from the annotation of a GenBank genome assembly. Lineage: Eukaryota; Metazoa; Mollusca; Cephalopoda; Sepiida; Sepiidae.
UGUAAUACCAGUUUCCAUACAAUCACCAAAGUUAAGCAAUGUUGAGCCUGGUCAGUACAUAGAUGUGUGACUGCUUGGGAAUACCAGGUGCUGUAA